Molecule: ribosomal RNA, 465 nt
Filed under: uncultured Klebsiella sp.
Lineage: Bacteria; Pseudomonadati; Pseudomonadota; Gammaproteobacteria; Enterobacterales; Enterobacteriaceae
Description: bacterial SSU rRNA
Rfam family: Bacterial small subunit ribosomal RNA
Source: RNAcentral
CCUACGGGAGGCAGCAGUGGGGAAUAUUGCACAAUGGGCGCAAGCCUGAUGCAGCCAUGCCGCGUGUGUGAAGAAGGCCUUCGGGUUGUAAAGCACUUUCAGCGGGGAGGAAGGCGGUGAGGUUAAUAACCUCAUCGAUUGACGUUACCCGCAGAAGAAGCACCGGCUAACUCCGUGCCAGCAGCCGCGGUAAUACGGAGGGUGCAAGCGUUAAUCGGAAUUACUGGGCGUAAAGCGCACGCAGGCGGUCUGUCAAGUCGGAUGUGAAAUCCCCGGGCUCAACCUGGGAACUGCAUUCGAAACUGUCAGGCUAGAGUCUUGUAGAGGGGGGUAGAAUUCCAGGUGUAGCGGUGAAAUGCGUAGAGAUCUGGAGGAAUACCGGUGGCGAAGGCGGCCCCCUGGACAAAGACUGACGCUCAGGUGCGAAAGCGUGGGGAGCAAACAGGAUUAGAUACCCUAGUAGUC